RNAcentral lists this ribosomal RNA (495 nucleotides) under uncultured bacterium. Its description in RNAcentral is "partial 16S ribosomal RNA". It matches the Rfam family "Bacterial small subunit ribosomal RNA", at positions 28 to 507 of the family's 1533-position model. The record is from RNAcentral.
GACGAACGCUGGCGGCGUGCCUAAUACAUGCCAGUAGAACGCUGAAGGAGGAGCUUGCUUCUCUGGAUGAGUUGCGAACGGGUGAGUAACGCGUAGGUAACCUGCCUGGUAGCGGGGGAUAACUAUUGGAAACGAUAGCUAAUACCGCAUAAUAGUAGAUGUUGCAUGACAUUUGCUUAAAAGGUGCAAUUGCAUCACUACCAGAUGGACCUGCGUUGUAUUAGCUAGUUGGUGGGGUAACGGCUCACCAAGGCGACGAUACAUAGCCGACCUGAGAGGGUGAUCGGCCACACUGGGACUGAGACACGGCCCAGACUCCUACGGGAGGCAGCAGUAGGGAAUCUUCGGCAAUGGACGGAAGUCUGACCGAGCAACGCCGCGUGAGUGAAGAAGGUUGUCGGAUCGUAAAGCUCUGUUGUAAGAGAAGAACGAGUGUGAGAGUGGAAAGUUCACACUGUGACGGUAUCUUACCAGAAAGGGACGGCUAACUACGUG